Molecule: long non-coding RNA, 27247 nt
Filed under: Sorghum bicolor (sorghum)
Lineage: Eukaryota; Viridiplantae; Streptophyta; Magnoliopsida; Poales; Poaceae
Description: long non-coding RNA (SBIC_LNC009924)
Rfam family: MIR5387 microRNA precursor family (bases 18090-18183)
Source: RNAcentral
GUUAGAGAUAUAUGCUUGCAUUCCUAUGCAUAUGGAGGACACGGUAUGUGUUGCGUCAGCAGUUUCUCAAGUCCCUUGUAUCAUCUAGGUGACCUAUCUAAAUAAUCUUUGGGGCCGUGAAAUGCUGUGUAGUAUUGUACUGAGCGUACGCUCAAUAUUAAACAAUAAAUUAAAAUAAGUCCUGUGUGUGAUAAUAAUUCACUCAGAUAAACCCAUGCAUUAUGAGGUUCUUGGCCAAUUACAGUAUUUACUGUCCUUUGCCUCUACAUCGUCAUAUUCCUUUUUUACAUUGAGAAUAAUUAUAAUUACUUCAAAACAAGAAAUAAAUUUAUCUUUGAUUGGUCACCACCCCAAGAAACAGGUAAGGGCCAAUCGACAUAUUAAAUCGAUGGCCCCAGUGCCAAUACUUAUGAUAUAUGUUUCGGAAAAUAUUCAAUAUGCAGUGAAGUUCAAGAAUUUUGAUGACUCAUCAGCUAAAUCAAACUUUAUGCCACCAAUCACUACUCGAGGCCGUGGCUUUGCCGAUGUUUUUACACUCGGUAAAGAGGCCUUUGCACUUAGCAAAGACUUUGCCGAGUAUAGUACUCGGCAAAGUCCGCUCAGCAAAUAUUCUCACGACAAAGGGACUUUGUCGAAUGCUUAUCCUGACACUCGGCAAAAUAAAAAAAAAAUUACCGAGUGGUUUGGGCGGCACUCAGUAAUUAAAAUAUUUCUGGCCGUUACGACGCCUGCCAUUAACGAUUAUUUUGUCGAGUGCUAGCCAACACUCGGCAAUUUAUUUAUUUUUUAAAACACCUUUGUCGAGUGUCCCAGCAUUAGCCACUCAGCAAAGUUGUUUUUCUAUUUAUUUUUUUUAAAAAAUUGCCGAGUGCUCCUGCGAAGGCACUCGGCAAAAACCAUGAGAAUUGCAUUUUUUUAUAUUUUUUACAUUCUAUUGAAACAGACUAUAUAUAUACAUAUAUAUAUAAACACACAUCAAUCAUCACAAUUAUAUCACCAACAUACAUUAUAUACCACAAACACACGCAUAUUUCAUAAAUCUAUCGGAAAUCCAUCAUAAAUACACAGAAGAUCAACAUCACAAGUUUAGUAUUACAAGUUCAACAUCACAAAGUUCAACAUCACUACUACGGCGGUGGAGACUGCAGGUGUGGCCACCCGGACUACGGUGAAGGACCGGACUGUGCCGAAGGGUUGGCGCGAUCAGCCGUCGGUGACACGGUGGCAGAAUUGUUUGAACCACCAACGGAGGCUGCACAAAAGAGAAGAGAUUGCAUGUGUUGGGCUCAAAAUUGAAAAUUUUGGUAGUACCUCCUAUGCACGUGGAGGUUUCCAACAUGCAAGAAACAACAACAUGAUGGCCGACAAUCCCAACGGCACGAAGGUCGACAAUCCCAAUGGCAGGAAGGCCGAAAAUCACAACGGCACGAAGACAGACAAUCCCAACGGUAAGAACGCAUUAAAACUUUCAUACUCGAUCACAGGAGUGAAGUGUCGAACCAGAGCAUAAUGUGUGUCGUCGGUAGCAUGCCGCUCCACAGGGCCACCAUCUUGUCGAAGCCUUCUCGACUUAGAUUUAACUCGGCCUUCAACCAAUGGUAUCUAGCUGAGAAACAUUAGUACCAUCGUGAAGGGGUCUUUGUGCCGAGUCUAGCAUUAGGUAGAAGGCAUCUACGACAGCCUCUAUCUCCGCCUUAUCAUGUCCUUUAGCGAACUGAGCUUGGUGAGUGUCAUCCAGCAUGUCUGCUACACCGGCAUCAUCAUCAAAAGCCUCGAGUCGUGGUCUCACCACCUCCUCCCUAGUACGAUCGGCUUCAUGUGGAUCCACCGGUGGUAGCCCGAAGUAAAUCCAAACUUUACAAUAUGUUGACCCAUGGUUAGCCUAUCUUUCCUUUUUCUGCUGUCACAACCGGUGCAGGGACACACAACUAGAGAAUGGCCUCCAGCACUCUCACCAAAUGCAUGCUUUCAGAAUUCUUUGACCUUGAUUAUAAAUAGCCACUCGUAAUCCUUCGCGUCCCUCUAGAGCAUGUACAUCCACUCACGGUCCUCCAUCCUUUAACAGACGUAUCAGCACAUAUGAGUGACCAUCAAUUGCAUCUACGUGGUGUCCCUACACUCUAAUAGGUGAGGAUAGGUUCUAAUCCCACCCGUGGAUCCAUAGAUGAUGUUAGUUUCCAUGCUCUGCUCCUAUAUCCGAGAUGGAAUUUUGGUAGCAUCUCCCUGUUGUUCUCCCAAUACACGUCCUACAAGGGAGAGUGUGUGUAUCCAGAGAACAACAGGAGGUGAUGUCGAAACACCGUCUCAGACUAGAGCAGACCAUGAAAACUGACCCAUUUACGCAUCCAUGGGCUGUCCAAGAAAUGGGACANNNNNNNNNNNNNNNNNNNNNNNNNNNNNNNNNNNNNNNNNNNNNNNNNNNNNNNNNNNNNNNNNNNNNNNNNNNNNNNNNNNNNNNNNNNNNNNNNNNNUGCCACCUACGACCGUAUAUCUUUCGAACAGGAGACACCUAAUUGGGUAACACAUGGACUACGACAAACAUAAAGGAUUCUAGGUGAUCUAUACUUGGGGUGUUGGUGGAGUCAGGCUAGCGGGGCAGUGGUGAGUCGACGGAGUGGAGAGGUGACGCAGUGCAGGCAGACCCACGCCGCCGACGAAGACGAUCAGGGUCCAUCGUGUCACCUGCAACGGGCUCUUGUCCUGCAUAAAAAUCCAGAAGUUUAGUGUUUGUUCAAAAUUUUAGCAUCACCUCCCCUGCACGGAGAGGUUUCCAAAACCUACAAGAAAUGAAGGCAUGAUGGCCAAAGAUCAUAAAGGCACGGAGGCUAGCAACCACAACAGCAUGAAGGCCAAGUUCACAAUGGCACAAAGGCCGAGUAUCGCAAGGGCACGAUGGCCAACAUUCAGAAUGGGAGUGUGCAUAUACCUUGGCGAGACAUGCACGGGGAGAAGAAUAUGCCAAGAAUGGGAUAGGACGUGCUGAUGGAGGCACCUCCUCCUCUUCUCCUCCUUGGCCUCCUACUCACCUUCCUCGCCUUGCCGACCUCCUCCUUCUUCCUCCUCCUCCUCCCACUUCUCCCCUUCCUCCUCCUCCUCCUUCUCCUCGUCCUCCUUCUCUUCCCCUUUCUCCUUCUUCCUCCUCCUUCUUUUUCCUUCUUCUUCUUCUUCCUCCUCCUUCUUCCACCUACCUCCACUUCCACUUAGCUCCUUGCCGGUGGCCGGGGAAGCCCAUCGGCGUCACCAUGGGCUAGCCCAUGCAGUGGGGAAGGUAGGGGACCUCGCUAGCCAGGGUGGCAGGGGAGGGGGUAAAGGGAGUACGCACUAGGAUGGGAGGGUGCAGAAACGGUGGAGCUCGGGGGCGCAGGGAACACAGCAAGGGGCACGGUGGAGGGAGCUCGGGGUGCAGGGGAGGGAGCUGAGGCGCGGUUGCGUGCCGAGGGAGAGGUUUGGGGUCGCAAGGAGUGCCGCGGUCGCAGGGAAGGGGCGAGGGCUUCGCCGGCAUAGCGGUGCAACAUGGGGUGUCAGGCCGGCCGGAUCUGCAGACACGGGGCGUCGCCGGUGCUGGGACGGGCCUAGCGUGGGGCAGAAGCUGCUCACCGGGGGCAGGCUCGCCGAAGGCAAGGGCGGCGGCGGUAGAACCGGCGCUGCGGCGGGUAGCGAGGGAGUCGGGCGCGUAGGUGGGAAUGAGGCUUGGGUUGGGGUGGGUUGGCGGGAGCAUGGAUUUCUUUGACUGAAUGCCUUGCUUCUUAACGACAUGCAACAGAGCAUACCUCUCUUUGUCGGUUGCCAGCUUAGGAAGAGCCAUGGGAACCUAUCUGCAACCCGACCCCAAGGGAUAAUGGCUAGAUUUGUUAGCCCAAACUAGUGCUUGCACUAUAGAUACGAAUACAUUCCCUGGCAAACUGAGGGCUAUUCAAAUACUUACUUUCGGACUGCUACCCUGUUGGAAUAAUUUUUUAAUUUUUUAAUAUUUUGCCGAGUGCCCCCUGACCCUGGGGUUACCGAUGGGACUAUGUCAGCUGAAAGAAUAUCAGAAGUAAUUAUAAGACAGGUGAAAGGUCCUAAUAUGGCUAGAGGGGGGUGAAUAGCCUAUUUAAAAAUUCUACAAACUCACUAGAGCAAGAGGUUAGUAAAUAACAAAGCGAAGCUUUUUGCUCUAGCUCUAAAGGGGGAUUUGCAAGCCACCUAUCCAACAAAUCUAGUUGAUAUAAUUACUAGGCACACAAGAGCUAUGUCACUACUUACACUAGAAAGCUACCUAAAAUUUCUAUACAAGUAAGUAAGCUACUCUAGUUUGCGGGAAUGUAAAAGAGAUGGUUUGAGCUUUAUACCGCCGCGUAGAGGGGAUGAACCAAUCAAUAAUAUGAAGUCCAAUCACCGGGAGAAAUCCAAUGAACAAUCACAAUGGAGACACACAAUUUUUCUCCCGAGGUUCACGUGCUUGCCGGCACGCUACGUCCCCGUUGUGUCGACCAACACUUGGUGGUUCGGUGGCUAAGAGGUGUAGCACGAACCUCGUCCUCACUAGGACACCACAAGAACCUCUCACAAUCACCGGGAGAUGGCCACGAACAAUCACCAACUCGUGCCAAUCCUCCUCCGCUGCUCCAAGCCGUCUAGGUGGUGGCAACCACCAAGAGUAACAAGAAAACCGCAGCUAGAACGAUCCCCAAGUGCCACUAGAUGCAAUCACUCAAGCAAAUGCACUUGGAAUCACUCCCAAUCUCACAAAGAUGUUUAAUCUACGAAGGAGAUGAGUGGGAGGUGUAUGCUUAGGCUCACAAGGAUGUCAAGUAUGUUAGAAUGCCAAGAGUAUGAGCCCCAAGCCGGCCAAACACGUAUUUAUAGCCCCUCAAGCAAAUAGAGCCGUUGGCUCUUUCACUGGGCGAAAUACGGGGUCACCGGACGCUCUUAAAGGGGCACCGGACGCUCAACACUAGUGUCCGGUGCUGCAACGUCAGCCGCGUGUCAGAGUCUAACGGUAACCUGCAGAGCACCGGACGCGUCCGGUGCACACCGGACUCAUGCGCAGAGAGCUCCGCAAACUCGCAGGGUCACCGGACGCAAGCCACCGGACGCACCCUGAGCGUCCGGUGCUCACUGGACUCACACCCAGAGAGGGUUGCAAAACGCGCGGACACCGGACUCAGACCACCGGACGCUCCAGCUUGCGUCCGGUGCCUGACGUCCGGUGCCUAACUCUAGCUGAGCCAGGCAGCCUGCUCACCGGACGCUCAGACACAGCGUCCGGUGCCUCUGAGCCAGCGUCCGGUGAGUGUUUUCUCAGCGAGAAACACUCCCGCGACUUCACCAAUUUUCCCACCGGCGCAAUAGAAAAUGUGCACUUCAUUUUCUCGAAAAGCGCCGAAUCCCGCAUCGCAAGCUCGGCGGGAGGGAGAGAGGAACCCAUCCUCUCUCUACUCUUCAAACUCCACCUCCUUCUCAAAGUGUGCCAACACCACAACGUGUGUACCAACAAGUGCACGUGUGUUAGCAUUUUCACAAACAUUUUCUUCGAAGGAGUUAAGUUAGCUUACUAGGUUCUAAAUGCAUGCACAUGAUUAAUGACACCUAGUGGCACUUGAUAACCACUUAGCCAAAGAAUUCCCCUCUUUAUAGUACGGCUAUCUAUCCUAAAUGUGAUCACACCCUCUUUGGUGUCUUGAUCACCAAAACCAAAACCCUAAGCAAUACCUUUGCCUUGAUCUCCAUAGGGUUUUGUUUUUCUCUUUCUUCUUUUCCAAGUUGAGCACUUGAUCAUCUUGUGGUCAUCACCAUCAUCACCAUGAUCAUCACUUGCUCCAUCACUUGGCAUGUACCAACCUCAUUAAGUCUACACACACUUAGUAUAGAGGUUAGUACUAGGGUUUCAUCAAUUAUCCAAAACCAAACUAGGGCUUUCAACAGGGAACAUAAGUUCAUCGGCAAUGGUUUUAUAAAGGGUAUAUUACCUUGAGGAGGAGCAGCACUUGUUUGGAUGGAGGAAACUACCGAUGCUAUGAUUGAACCUGCUGGAUCAGCAGUUUGCUAGGGUAUGUCAGCCGAUAUAUCUUCUGGCUGAGGUCCCUCUGGUUGGAAUUCUUCUACAUGAGCUUCUUCCUGCGGCUGAGGAGGAGAUGGUGCCUGUUGCAUCUGGACUUCUGGAGAGGAGGGAGAAGAUUCUACUGGAAUUGGAGACACUGGGGGAGGAGGAGGUGUUGCUGUCUUCUGAUGCUUCACUUGUGAUCUGGUGCUCUUGGAGCCUUUCCUCUUUGCCUGGCUGGACUGGGGGGCAUCGACACCUGUGCUUUUGGUCCUUACCGAUGCACCAGUGUGCUUUACCAAGGAUGAGAAUUCGUGAGUACAAGCGUAUUGGCUGGAAGAAUGAAAUCGGUAAAGAAAUUUGAAGAUUUACCUUAAAGGCUUGCGCCAAAGCAGAGGCGGCUACCGAUGGAGAUGUCUUUGAACGCUUGGUGGUGACCUUCUUGAGGCGUACACCUCGGUGCAUUAUGGCAGCCAAGGUGGGAGCAUUGUCGCCGAUUGAGGAGAUCGGGCCUGAUGGAAAAAGAUCAAUCGGCUUGCCACUCCUGCUGACCGAUGGGGGAACGUUAUCAACCUGCAAUAUAAUACAGAAAGUGAGAUACCGAUGGAAAUAAAAUUGAAAUAAUUGAGACAUCGGUUAGGAAAUACUUACAGUGUUAUCGGGAACUUUGUACUGGGGAUCGAUCAUGCCGCGAUACGUAAGAGCCGAUUUGCAGAACAAAUGCUCCUCCCAUUCCUCCCACCAUUGUUUGUACGCCUGAGUAAUGAAGAGGACCGGGAUCCACUCUGAUAGAUCUGCAUCUGUAUCGGCAUUCGGUGACAGCUGGGCUACUCGGAUCCACUCGAGAAGGUUAGUGAUGGCUUCUGUGGGUUUAUUACAUCGGCAUAACAGAGUGCAAUCGGCAGUUGGCCGAAAGCUAGUUGAUGGGCUAGUGCCGAUGGGUUAUAAAACUCAUAGGUUUGGUUGGAGGUUUUCCCACUACCGAAGAAGUUUACUGGAAUAGCUCUGGGAGUGAUCAGUGCCAUCAUCACUUCGUGGUCCUUGUUGAGAGCAUUGUUGAACGGAUGGAAGACCAAAGGAAACAAGGUGUCUGGAUCUUCAUAAGGCAUCCAUGCUCGCUGUUCUCUGGUCAGGCCUUCAUACAGGGUUUGGAAGAAUCGGCUGACCUGGUUUGCAUUGCUCCCUGUACCGGGCAGAACUAUGACAGCCUCGCCAAAGUUUAGAGGAGGGCGAGUUGCCGAUUCUUCUUCAUCCAGUUCAUAAUCCUCGGUUAUAUCCCUAGGGAAGCGCUGUGCGAAGAGGUCAAACUCAAGACGCUUGUGCAUGUGGAGACUAAGCCACAUAUUGAUAAACCACCAGGGACCCCCCAAGUUGCCGAUGGACUGGCCGAGCAGGAGUUUCCUGGUUACUUGAUGAAGGAGGUGGUAAGCCGCGCCAAGCAGGUAUCGGCCAAGGGGAAAUCGGCCACCAUUGGCUAAUCUUUCUGCUGCUGCUAAGUAGACGGAAGUUGGUCCUGCCGAUCGACCACAAAAUACGAAUUUGUCCAACCACAUGUUCAGGAAGCUGGUCUGUUCCUUUAUGUUGACAGGGCCUGUUCGUUUGUAUUUUUGGAUAUACCCUGACCAACCGCCGAUGGAACGAGUUUCUACCUUAGCACUGGGUUUGGUAUUGAAAAAGUGGGUGCUAUCGACAGAAGAUACAUCUAGGCCGGUGAGCAUAACCACAUCGGCAAGUGUAGGGGAAGCAGGGCUGUGGCCAAAGACAAAGGCAUUGAGUGUGUCUGACCAGAAAUAUGAUGCAGCUAUCAGCAGUAACUCAUUCCUAUGCAUAUCGGCAAUGGACAACCUGAUGCAUUGGUCCAGUUUUAUCUCACCCCACUGGCUGACUCUCAAAAUCCAAUCCUUCCAUCCCAUGGUAGGACUGGGCCAGGAACGGAAGGUAUCCUUCCACAGAUCCAGAGAGAAAUUCUCGGCUCUAAAGGGAAUUCUGUUUGUUUCUGCGUUAAUAAGAUCGGUGGGAUCUGGAUCUCCUAACGGACCAAGACAUUGGAGGUGUGGCUGAUCGGUAGGGAUGACAAUUUUAUUGGACAGGUCCUAAUGGUUUUGAAGAUAAAAAGAAGAAUAAAUAAAGAAAAAGAAAAAAUGUUCAGUAAAAUAAAUGGCGGAUGAACAGGGAUACAGUAAAGGUACAAGAGGUAGGAUGAUGAACUGACCUCGAGAACAACGAAGUUGAUGGCCAUCUCCUUGCGAAAAGGAUGAUCAAAGACUUUGACGUUGAUGAAGAGAGGGCUUCGUUGGAGUUCUUGGAGCUCUCGGACAGCGCCGCCGCCGGGGAAGUGGAGUUGGGGCUGUAGAAUGAUGUGAUGGGGAAGGAGUACCCGAGAAGGAACUAUUUAUAGGACAAAACGGGCAGGGGCAAAUCUGACUUAUCUCUUCGCCGUAUCCGUGAAAUCCGAGGGUACUCAGGUAGAUAUGGUAACUGUUCGCACGGUAAUCAAGGGAUUGUGCAGGUGAUUUGACAGGAAGCGGUCGUAAUCUGGAGAUAUUUCACUAUGCGGAAUUUCCUGGUCGGUCCAUCGGCAGCACCUUGUAACGGUAACAUUGCCGAUGGGCGAAUAAGGUGGGGAUGUCCGUUUGGAAGGAUAAGAUGCUUCACUAUGCGGGAUGUCCUGGUCAGUCCAUCGGCAGUACCUUGUAACGGUAAUGUUGCCGAUGGACGGUUAAAGUGGAGAUGUCCGUUUGGAAAGUUGAGGAAUUCGAGAAAUCUACGGAAGAAUCGGACCAAGUUGUUCAGAUUUGGGCUGUCGGUUACUAAAUUGGGGGAAUUAAUUGCAGAGAGGCAUCAUUACUGCAGAGAAUUUCAGAGCAUUAAUGAUUUUAUACUCCGAAAUUGGGGGGCAUGUGUUGACACCGUUUUUGGACACGUGCCCAGGAUCGGUAGAGUGUAGAUCGGUAAGAUAGUGCAACAGUGAAUGGUCUGCAGGGGAGUUACCGACGAGGAUGGUUGCCGAUGAAGAGGUAGCUGAAUGUGGCUGAGUCCUUGGGUGAUGAUGCGUUUAUACCGAUGGCCAAGCGUUGGCUCCUGCCGAUGGAUACAAUGAGGAGUCUGCCGAUGAUUCUGAAGGAGGGCCUGAAGGAUGCUGAUUGGUCACGCGAGGAUAUCUUAGUUAUUUAAAUCGUUUUGUGUACGGAUUCUGUCUAAUUUAGAAUUCGAGUCCUAGUCGUGUCUGAUUGUAGCUCUUUGAGCAGAGUAUAAAUGUAGACCCUAGGGCUUUAUAAUGAAGGACAUCUACCAAUCAAUUAAACACAAGUUUUACUCAUAUUCCAGCAUCUACUUUUUCGACGACUUUGUCAUAUUUUCCUUUUUUUCAUUAUGAGUUCUUAGGAGUUCAUCGACUUAAGCUCGGCGUAUUCUCAAGUUCCGCGUGAAUACCUCUUGGCCGCGGCAUCCGGGCGCAUCGCUGUUGUCGGGACCAAAGUAUUCGAGUUAUCACCUUUGCCGAUAGUAAGGUCAAAUCGGCUGGCACGCCUUAACGUUUAAAUCGGGUAUUAGCCCUUUGUAUUUGCAGAUCAGCUUUUGCAGCAACAUAUAUUUCAUGGGCACAAAAAUACACAAUUAAAAACAUUUCUCCUAUUUUGGAAACUUGCAAAUUUUAGGGUGUUACAAGAAUAAUAUACUAAAAAACAAUACUAGAAUAAUAGUACAAACAAUAAUAUAUACAAAACACUACUAAAAUAAAUUUGGUGGGUAAACACUACUAGAAUAUAUAUUAGAGACUUAUAUACUACUACUAGUACUACUACAAAUGAAAGUGUUGGAGUGCUCUAAAAAUAAUACUAGAAUCUUUUAAGCCAAGUAAUACACUAGAAUAAUAUACUAAAAAACAAUACUAGAAUAAUAGUACAAACAAUAAUAUAUACAAAACACUAGAAAAUAAAAUAUGAUACAAGAAUAAGACAAAAAUAAUAUACUACAAAUAUAUACUAAAAAAUACUACUACAAAUAAUAUACUAAAAAAAUAAUACUACAAAAUAAUACAAGAAUAAAAUUAAUAUAUUACAAAUAUAUAUUAGCAUAAUAUAAUUUAUAAUAGGUCAACCCUACACUUAUACUAAUAUACUAAAAACUAAUAUAUAUAUAUAUAUAAUAUACUAAAAACUAAUAUACAUUCAUUCUGUAGAUUUUAUAUAUAUAUAUAUAUAUAUAUAUAUAUAUAUAUAUAUAUAUAUAUAUAUAUAUAUAUAUAUAUAUAUAUAUAUAUAUAUAUAUAUAUAUAUAUAUAUAUAUAUAUAUAUAUAUAUAUAUAUAUAUAUAUAAAUAUAUAUAUAUAUAUAUAUAUAUAUAUAUAUAUAUAUAUAUAUAUAUAGAUGUAUAUAGAUCGACAGAGAUAUAGCGGUGGAGCUGAUGGGUACAUGUGUAUGUGUAUAUAGCUGGAGAGAAGGAGCGCGAUAGCGCGGCUCUAGGGCUCUUAUUGUAUAUGUGGGGCCGGACGCAUACGCACGCACGCACGUGCGCAAGCGCGGGCGCGGAUGUAUAUGAGCGCGUGGGAACACAUAUCCACGAACACGAGAGCACGCGCUCAGAGUGACUGAGACAACGGCUGAGAGAGACGCGGNNNNNNNNNNNNNNNNNNNNNNNNNNNNNNNNNNNNNNNNNNNNNNNNNNNNNNNNNNNNNNNNNNNNNNNNNNNNNNNNNNNNNNNNNNNNNNNNNNNNNNNNNNNNNNNNNNNNNNNNNNNNNNNNNNNNNNNNNNNNNNNNNNNNNNNNNNNNNNNNNNNNNNNNNNNNNNNNNNNNNNNNNNNNNNNNNNNNNNNNNNNNNNNNNNNNNNNNNNNNNNNNNNNNNNNNNNNNNNNNNNNNNNNNNNNNNNNNNNNNNNNNNNNNNNNNNNNNNNNNNNNNNNNNNNNNNNNNNNNNNNNNNNNNNNNNNNNNNNNNNNNNNNNNNNNNNNNNNNNNNNNNNNNNNNNNNNNNNNNNNNNNNNNNNNNNNNNNNNNNNNNNNNNNNNNNNNNNNNNNNNNNNNNNNNNNNNNNNNNNNNNNNNNNNNNNNNNNNNNNNNNNNNNNNNNNNNNNNNNNNNNNNNNNNNNNNNNNNNNNNNNNNNNNNNNNNNNNNNNNNNNNNNNNNNNNNNNNNNNNNNNNNNNNNNNNNNNNNNNNNNNNNNNNNNNNNNNNNNNNNNNNNNNNNNNNNNNNNNNNNNNNNNNNNNNNNNNNNNNNNNNNNNNNNNNNNNNNNNNNNNNNNNNNNNNNNNNNNNNNNNNNNNNNNNNNNNNNNNNNNNNNNNNNNNNNNNNNNNNNNNNNNNNNNNNNNNNNNNNNNNNNNNNNNNNNNNNNNNNNNNNNNNNNNNNNNNNNNNNNNNNNNNNNNNNNNNNNNNNNNNNNNNNNNNNNNNNNNNNNNNNNNNNNNNNNNNNNNNNNNNNNNNNNNNNNNNNNNNNNNNNNNNNNNNNNNNNNNNNNNNNNNNNNNNNNNNNNNNNNNNNNNNNNNNNNNNNNNNNNNNNNNNNNNNNNNNNNNNNNNNNNNNNNNNNNNNNNNNNNNNNNNNNNNNNNNNNNNNNNNNNNNNNNNNNNNNNNNNNNNNNNNNNNNNNNNNNNNNNNNNNNCUAGGCGGGCUUGGGCGGGGUCCUGAAAAUUUUCAGGACCCUUUACACCGGUUCCCACUAUGGGCCGGUGCUAGGCCCUGUUUUUUACUUUUGGGUUUUUCAAUUGUUUAUAUAUACAGUUUAUAUUAUAAAUUGUAUAGUAAAUUAAAUAUUUUGCAUAAUAUUUUUUAAACAGUGACAUAUAUUGUAAUUUUUUUUAAUGUACACAUGAAAAUUUUUAACCUUAAAUAUCUUACUAUAUUUUAAUAAUUUGCAAUGUUUUUUAAGAAAUGUUUAGUAUUUUGUUAAUGAAAAAAUAUAUUAUUCCAAUAAAUUUACAAAAACUAUAUCCAAUCAACUGGAAAUCUAUUUUCACAUCAUAUUGACGUUAAGCUUUUUAUUUUUGUUAUUUAUUACUCGGAAUGCUAGUAGGGCAUUGUUUUCAUCAAAUAAAAAAUCUAUUUAUCAUAUAAAAAUAUAUAUCUUGAUGAACACACCCUUUGACCGAACCCUAGAUUGUCCCAAAUGGAAAAGUCAUGAAUACAAAGUUUGUUACACUCAUCAAGUUCUACAUUUUGUCUAAUGGUCAACUUUUCUUUUGGAAAAGUUUGAACCACUGAAUUUUAAAUUUUCAGAAAAUUCAUAGCCACGCAGCGGUUUCAGAACCCUAGAUGGUCUCGAAUGCAAAAGUUAUGAAUACCAGUAUUGUUCCACUCAUCAAAUCUACAUUUCAUAUAUAGACCAUUUUUGCAUUUGACAAAGUUUUGGGAAGGUGUAGUGAAAAUCCACAAUUGACGCAUAUAGUUUCAUAUAGUUUGUGUGAGAUUCAAGAAUUGGUGGGUAUUGUUAACUUAAACUUUCUCAAAUAGAAAAGUUGUGUAUAUAAAAAGUUUAGAUCUUGAUGAUAUCUAACAACUUGGUAUUAAAAAUUUUUUCAUUUUAAGUAAUUUAGUUUGUCAUUUGACCAAGUUUGACUAAAACCCGUCUUGGAUUUUAUAGAAAUGUGAUUAGGAUUGGCUCAAAAUUAUCCAAAUGGAAAAAUGGACAAUAUAUAAAAAUGUAGAUCUUCAUGAUCUCUAACAACUUUGUAUUCAAAAUUUUUUCAUUUGAAGUCAUCAAAUGGGCCAUUUGAUCAAGUUUGACCAAAGUCAAAGCAUUGGUUUUUACAAAAACACCCUUUGACCGAACCCUAUAUUGUCCCAAAUGGAAAAGUCAUGAAUACAAAGUUUGUUACACUCAUCAAGUUCUACAUUUCGUCUAAUGGUCAACUUUUCUUUUGGAAAAGUUUGAACCACUGAAUUUUAAAUUUUCAAAGAAUUCAUAGCCACACAGCAGUUUCGGAACCCUAGAUGGUCUCGAAUGGAAAAGUCAUGAACACCAAUAUUGUUCCACUCAUCAAAAUCUACAUUUCAUAUAUAGACCAUUUUUGCAUUUGACAAAGUUUUGAGAAGGUGUAGUUGAAAAUCCACAAUUGACACAUAUAGUUUCAUAUAGUUUGUGUGAGAUUCAAGAAUUGGUGGGUAUUGUUAACUUAAACUUUCUCAAAUGGAAAAGUUGUGUAUAUAAAAAGUUUAGAUCUUGAUGAUAUCUAACAACUUGGUAUUCAAAAUUUUUUCAUUUUAAGUAAUUUUGUUUGUCAUUUGACCAAGUUUGACCAAAACCCAUCUUGGAUUUUAUAGAAAUAUGAUUAGGAUUGGCUCAAAAUUAUCCAAAUGGAAAAAUGGACAGUAUAUAAAAUGUAGAUCUUGAUGAUCUCUAACAACUUUGUAUUCAAAAUGUUUUCAUUUGAAGUCAUCAGAUGGGCCAUUUGAUCAAGUUUGACCAAAGUCAAAGCAUUGGUUUUUACAAAAACACCCUUUGACCGAACCCUAGAUUGUCCCAAAUGGAAAAGUCAUGAAUACAAAGUUCGUUACAAAGUCAAGCCGACACAAUAGUGAACUUCUUCUUGACGUCUGACCCUUGGUUAUGAUCCUGCCGUAACCAUGGAGUAUCCUCAUUGUUUAACAGAAUGCUUGGGUCUUUGUUGACUAUGAAGGGCGGAAUUCGAUCAUCCCUUUCGUAAUCGCCUGACAUGUCUGACUUGUUCUCAAUUCCGACAAUGUUUCUUUUCCCGGAAAGGACAAUGUGGCGCUUUGGCUCAUUGAUGAUUGAGUGGUCAUCAUUUUUUCCUCUCUUUGGUUUCGUAGACAUAUCUUUGACAUAGAACACCUGACUCACGUCUGCAGCAAGGACGAAUGGUUCGUCUUUGAACCCACUAUUGUUAAGGUCCACGGUUGUCAUCCCAUACUCCUUGUCGACUGUUACCCCACCUCCGGUCAUCUACACCCAUUGGCACCAGAACAAAGGAACUUUAAAAAUUAGCUACAUAGACUAGUUCCCAUAUGUCUUCUAUGUGUCCAUAAUAUGUUUGUCUGUUCCCAUUUGGAUCUGUGGCAUCCACGCGUACACCACUAUUUUGGUUGGUGCUCCUUUUAUCUUGGCCAACUGUGUAAAAUGUGUUACCAUUUAUCUCGUACCCUUUGUACGUGAGGACAUACCAUGAUGGUUGCCUGGCCAACAAAUAAAGCUGCUCAUCAAUGUUUUCAUCACCUUGACAUUUUUUGCGCAACCAAUCGCCAAAAGUUUCCAUGUGCUGACGCAUUAUCCAAGCUUCAUUCUUCCCAGGCCACUGGGACCGGAGGAAAUCUUUGUGUACCUCAACAUAUGGUUCCACCAAUGAGGAGUUCUGGAGAACUGUGUAGUGUGCUUUAUUAAAGUAAUCGUCUCCUGUACCAAUAUAUGUUUUCUUCCCAAGUGUUCCCUUUCUGCUGAGUCUGCCCUCGUGUCGAGAUUCAGGAAUACCAAUUGGGUCAAGGUCUAGAAUAAAGUCAACACAGAACUCUAUGACCUCCUCUGUUCCGUAGCCCUUGGCAAUGCUUCCUUCUGGCCGGGAACGACUAUGGACAUAUUUCUUUAGGACACCCAUGAAUAUCUCGAAGGGGAACAUGUUGUGUAGGAACACAGGACCGAGAAUACGAAUCUCUUUGAUCAGAUGAACUUGGAGGUGUGUCAUGAUAUCGAAGAAGGAUGGAGGGAACACCAACUCAAAGCUAACGAGACAUUGAACGACAUCAUUUUACAGAGUAGCUAGUUGCUCUGGAUUGAUUGCCUUUUGAGAAAUUGCAUGGAGGAAUGCACAUAGCUUUACGGUGGCUAGACGUACGUGUGGAGGUAAAAUUCCUCUUAAAACCACCGGCAGCAAUUGCGUCAUUAGAACGUGACAGUCAUGCGACUUCAAGUUCAGGAAUUUCUUUUCUAGCACAUUAAUUAUUCCCUUGAUAUUGGAGACCAAUCCAGAUGGGACCUUGAUGCUGCUUAGACAUUCAAACAUGCUUUCCUUCUCUUCUUUGCUCAGAGUGUAGCUAGCAGGGCUUAAGUAAUGGCGACCAUCAUCUGUCUUUUCUGGAUGCAGGUUGUCUCGUUCUUUCAUGCGCUGCAAGUCUUGUCGUGCUUCAAGUGAAUCCUUAGACUUUCCGUAGACACCCAUGAAUCCGAGCAAGUUCACACAAAGAUUCUUUGUCAGAUGCAUCACGUCGAUCGCGUUGCGGACCUCUAGGACAUUCCAGUAAGGUAGCUCCCAAAAUAUGGAUUUCUUCUUCCACAUGGGUACGUGUCCCUUAGCAUCCUUGGGAAUAGGUUCGCUGCCUCGUCCCUUUCCAAAUACCACUUUUAUAUCCUUGACCAUUUCGAGUACAUCAUCCCCGGUUCGAAAAAUACACAGUCAAGGUCUUCAUAACAAUGUGUGCAUGCAUUAUAUCCCUUGUUUGACUGGCCUGAAAGAUUACUCAGAGCUGGCCAAUCAUUGAUUGUUACAAUCAGCAAUGCUCGCAGGUCAAAGUGCUCUUGUUUGUACUCAUCCCACACGCGAACUCCUGGUUUGCUCCAUAAAAGUUGAAGUUCCUCAACUAAUGGCCUUAGGUAGACAUCUAUGUCAUUGCCAGGUUGCUUCGGUCCUUGGAUAAGCACCGACAUCAUAAUAAACUUCCGCUUCAUGCAUAGCCAUGGAGGAAGAUUGUAGAUACAUAGAGUAACUGGCCAAGUGCUGUGACUACUGCUCUGCUCACCGAAAGGACUCAUACCAUCGGUACUUAAGGCGAACCGCAAGUUUCUAGCAUCAUCUGCAAAAUUUGGAAAUUCUCUGUCUAUCGCUCUCCACUGGGAUCCAUCGGCAGGGUGUCUCAGCAUAUUGUCUAUCUUACGGUCUUCUUUAUGCCACCGCAAUAACUUUGCAUUGUCCUUAUUUCUGAACAGACGUUUUAAUAGUGGUAUUAUAGGAGCAUACCACAUAACCUUGGCAGGAAUUUUCUUCCUCUGACGUUCUUCACCCUCAACAUCGCCAGGAUCAUCUCGUCUAAUCUUAUACCGUGAUGCCUUACAUACUGGACAUGCAUCCAAAUUCUCGUAUUCCUCCCCACGGUAGAGGAUGCAGUCAUUAGGAUAUGCGUGUAUCUUCUGGAUUUCUAAUCCCAAAGGGCAGACAACCUGUUUUGCUUCAUACGUAGUGGUGGGCAAUUCGUUCCCUUUCGGAAGCAUCUUUUUUAUGAUCUUCAAUAACUGCCCAAAUGCCUUGUCAGAUGUACCAUUCUUUGCCUUCCAUUGCAGCAAUUCCAGUGUGGUACCCAGCUUCUUUUGCCCCUCUUCAGCGGUGGGAUAUAGCGAUUUCCUGUGGUCCUCUAGCAUGCGCUCGAACUUGGCUUUCUCUUUGUCACUUUCACAUUCUCUUUGUGCAUCACGGAUGGCAUCACCAAAAGCAUCGUCGCCCCGAUCAUCUUCUGCCGCUACCUCUUCUUCAUUAUCUUCCCCCAUUGCAACAUCAUUGAAGCCACCGUACUGAGCAAUAAUAUUGGCAUGGUCCAAUUCUUCUUCUUCUUCUUCACCUUCAUCCAUUAUAAUCCUGCUUUCUCCAUGUUUGGUCCAACAAAUAUAAUUUGGUACGAAACCAGACUUUAAUAAGUGUGAAUGAAGAGUUCUUGAGUUAGAAUAUUCUGUCAAAUUCUUGCACACGGCACAUGGACAACACAUGAAACCGUCCAUCUUAUUUGUCUCGGCCACACUUAAGAAAUAGUGCACGCCAUUAAUGAACUCUUCGGAGUGCCGAUCGGCAUUAUACAUCCAAUUAUGUGUUACCAUCUACAUUAAAUAUAACAUAUAUAUUAUGAAAACCAUGCACACAUAUAGUUUCUCAUCUUAUUGCACAACAUGUCUAAGAUACAUAGUUGAUUAAUUCAGGAAAGCUUGGCUACAACAAAUACAAUCGCAACUAGCACUAAAAAAACGAAAACUAAAAUGCACUUAAGCAACAUAAUUAGUUUGCGUCCGAUCCCAACUAUAAUAGAUAGAUCAUUCGCUUGAUCAACAUCAUUGAACUCCUUUCGUCGGCUCACUGCCUUACCACCUUCAGCCUCAACCAGUUGUGCAAAAGAUUUCUUAAUGUGUUCAAUGUAUUCUUCCUCCCAGUACCAACCUGUACAUCCGCCGGUACUGUCCCACUGAAAUUAAAAGAGAGAAUCAAAAGUUUAAUUAAUAUCAUUUAAAAAAAUAUGCACAUAUAUAGGCAAAUGUCUGGAAAUAACUCACAUUACGAUCCGGACACUUGUCGAAUAUACGACCCUUGUUUACUUCCUCUUUCGACACUUUGUACUCCAUCACAAUCUUCUGCCCACACUUGCCACAAGUAUUGAGAGGGAGUUCCGGCCGGUAUCGCUUUUGAACCCGUUGAGAGACCCAAGACCCGGUCACGGUUGCCAUCUACUAUCCAUACUCAAUUUUUAAACAAUUAUAAAUUCCACAUUUACUAGUAAACAUGUAUGAUUAAAGAAGAACCUAAUAACAUCCUUUAUUUGUCUAGUUACUUCAACAAAUCUUCUAAAUUAUACAAUGAACAUUAUGUAGUAAUAAAAAUAAAUUAAGUGAUAUUAACAAACCAAUUAAUUUGAACUAUCCUACUUUCUAAGAUCAUAAAAAGAUACUAUAAUUCAUUCUUGCAAACUACAUUAAUACUAGGUCAACCAUAAAAUAUGAUAUAUAUAUAUAUGGAUACUAAUUCAUGUGAAUGAUUCAAAAUAACAAAGUGGAUUUGAGCUAAAAAUGAUGAGAACAUCACAAGCCAAAAACAACAUGAAAAAGACAAUAAAUGCUAAAGUUAGUCACCUCCAAGCACGAAGAGACGAUGACGGAGUCGAAGAAGAUCAACGAUGGGCGUCAGAAAUGAAGAACAAAUGAAGAACAAGCAAGAAGAAGCUCCAAGAACAACAAUGGUGCUCUCGGUUUCAAAUGGGCAGAGGGGAGGAGGGAGCCGGCCUAUAAACCGGACCUUUAGCACCGGUUCAGGGAAAAAACCGGUGCUAAAGGGUCACCCUUUAGCACUGGUUUGUGUUACAAACCGGUGCUAAAGACUUUGCCUCGGCCCGUGGCACUGGCCGGUGCUAAAGGGGACCCUUUAGUACCGGUUGGUAACACGAACCGGUGCUAAAGGGUCCCGGCCCCGACGGCACCUGUCAGUAGCCGUUGGGCAGGACCCUUUAGCACCGGUUCGUGUUACGAACCGGUGUUAAAAGGGUCUUUAACCCCGGGCCGCAAAAAGGCCGAGAUUUUUGGCCAUUUUGGACAUCGACCAAUGCCCUCAUUCUGUAGUAGUGAAACAAUUCAAAUUCAAAUCCAUGUACGAAUGUCUAUUUGAUUUUUUAAAACCUCAGGCUUGGUUGAAGCCCUUUUGAUUUGGACAGAUUCAGCCGAAUCAUUGAGGCACCUAAACUUUGAGAAAAUCUGGCAGGGGAUCAGCCCAAACGUGAUACAGAUCCAGGUCUCAACUAUGUGAUAUAUAUGCAUGAGACAUCUACGUACAGAAUUUUCCUGCACUAUCCUUCGACAAGGAAUCUAGAUCUUGGAGUAGAAUUGUAGAGUCGGAUUCUAGUUGGAUGCUUGAGAUGCCCAACACCAAUGCUUAAAAGAGUCCUUUCAGGCUGGCCAUAGCUUCAGCUAUCACUUUAUCAUGAACUGCCGACAAAUUCCAUUAGGGCUUUACGCUAUGCAUGCUUUACUGAUUCCACUUCUUUCAAAUUAGUUUUCACUUUUUUCUCUCUAGAUAUAUGUGCCCUCAGCAAGAUUAAAUGGUGCCAUAUGGAAAGUUCAUCAUUUUUUUGCGAGACCCAGUUACAAACGCAGACACUCGCAGACACGAGCACUUCCGAAGAACUGAGUUGAAUUGACAAAUCUCGAGAUUGAUAAAGAACCGAGUUGGAUUGGCAAAUCUCGAGAUUGAUGAAGUCACCACAGGCGCCUCGCUGUCGAGCAUAAUGCCGUUAAAUCCUGAAAUAAAUUCAUAAAAAUACGUGUAUCCAUGUUAAGUCGGAGACUUGAACCCGGGUAGGCAGAGGAACCAACCAGCUGAUCUAUGAUUAGUUCAUGGAAAAUUCGUCAUUUAUCUAUAGGUUAAAAUACAUAUAAUGGUACAUCCAAUAUUAUGUUUGAAAUUAACAACAUGCAGUCAUACACAAUAAAGGCGAUGGGAUUUUUGUCAAUCUGCUGUAGUAGCACUCUCCUAUAAUCUCAGAUCCUGUUUUCUCAAUCCCCUGUAGGAUAUUUUGAAUGAAAUGUGUUAUCCGGUAGAGAUGCUCUUACGUGGGGCAGUAGUUUUUUUAGGUGCGACGAUUUUUGGGUCAUUUAUUUUGUUUAUGUCAUAAACUCAUUGAGAUCGUACUGCCUCUUUUUCUAUCAGAACUGCAAAAGUGAAAUAAAAUGUGUCUUAUUCUUGAUAUAUGUAAUGCAAAAGUUGAAAUGCUAGGCUGUGCCUCGCCUUCUCUGACGUGAGAAAAAAAUCAAUGUGGACACACAAUGCUCAAUGUACAAUAAGAUAAUUUCAUUUGUUGAAAUUAGAGCUGCCCGAAUCUCAUGUCUCUAUAAUGAUGUUUAUAUCUACUAGUACAUCCUCUAUCGGGCUAGACUAUCCACUCACAUCAUCGUCUCAUAUUCUUGAAGCGGUUUACAGAGGCUAACGUUCAUCUUUCUUCAGGUGGGAUAUUUCUUUAGAAAAGGUAAUUCUUUGAACCUACACAUACUACAGUGUAGCGAUAGCUAGCUAGGUUUGUGAAAACCAUGAUGUGUUGUUGGUAUUAGUAAAAGCUCAAGAACUGCGGCUUUAACAUCUACAAACUUAGAGGGAAUCAUGAUGAUAUAUAUGCUACUGAGUACUGACUACCAUCCAAGUAACAAAUAAUAAAGCUAGCUAAAUGUGCUGGAUGCAAGAUUUGUACCUGAUUGCCCAUGAACAGUGGGAUUAGAUUGUCUCAACGGCUAGAUAUAUUGCCUUUUUCAUUCUAGCUGCAGGUGGUAUGCCUGGAACCACCUGAAGCAAGUUAUAAAAUUGUAGGAUUCCAGCAAGUUGGAUUCAUUUUUCUAAUUCAUGAUGAUCAGACAGUGUCUUUCUUCAGGUGGUAUUUUUCUUCAAAAAAAAUAAUUCUUUCGAACCUAAAGUAGCAAAAAAAAUUAUGGUGUUUUUUUAGGGAAAUUUAGAAGUAAUCAAGGCAUACUUUUGUCUACUUUUGGGCUUCCGUGAACGAACAUCCUUUUUUCUCAAUAAAACUGACAAGGUUGUCAAAGUUGUUCAAAAGUAAUGGCAGCGUGAACUUAUCAUGAAGUUUUAAAAAUACGUGAUGAUCAAGUGAUGUAUGCGGCAAAUGGCCAUAUUGGCUAAUAUAGAGAUAUUAUCGAACGACAUGCAGUUCAGUGUGAUGAUUAUAUAAUGGCACGCUCAUACUAAAAUCUUAUAUAUUGUGUUUUCUUAUUACAUGACUAUCCAUUAUCGGAGUUGGCCACUGAAUUUUGUUAGUGCUCAUGAUAUACAUGCAUUUAGUUCUGCAUAUUUUGUACCUGAAUCAGUAAUGAAAAUUAUUAUUUUCUAGGGUCUAAGUUUUACACAUAGGUUGAUAGGCAUAUAUCAAGUACAACUGGAGAGUAGUGUGUCAAAUUGUGUUUUAGUGUUCAGGAUGUGAUUAGUAACAGGUGAAAUAUUGUAAAUGAAUGGCUAUGUGUGGUGGUAGAGAAUGGCAAAAAUUUCGUUUUCUAUAAGAAAAAGAAACCAAGAAAGUUUUUUUUGAGAACAUGUGGACGAUUGGCAUGCAUUCAGUAGAUGCGUUGUUUUAAGUGUCCAAUAACUAAAGCGUGCAACAAAAUUGGUAGAGUCUUGGACUUGGUCUAUUACUUGGCUUUGUUUACAAAUCAUGACAACUUAUUUCAUGCAUUACAACCAUGUUUUCUUAGACGAGAAAUCGCCAAUUAAAUCUUAAGCUGUAUGAGCACCUAAUUUUUGAUUCAGAACCCAAAAUAUUAACAUGGAAAAUGUUCUCAAAUAAUAUAAAUUUUACAAUGCAAAAUUUUGUCAUUGGAUACAUGUUUUAACAGACCCAUGCGUUGUAUGUUGAAAAAUAAUAGAGGAACGAAUAGGAAACAAUAUACAUAUGUGUAAUCAUACAUCUGAAUGACAAGUAUUACCCUAAAGUUCUAGACAUGCAAAGUGUGUGUUUGGUGCGCGUGCCAUCAAGUAGUUGUCGUGAUACUGGUGACAUAAUUAUAUCAUCUAUCUUAUUUGUCUGUCGGAUGUAUCAAAAUAUUAUACAUAUGCAUUGUGAUUCUUCUUCAAAAAGCGAAGUGCGCGUGCAGAAAACCCACUACCCUAUUUGGGAGAUUGAUACUCUUUUUGUCAAGUAAUAACAACCAAUAUCUCUCCAUUUAAAUCUCUAAUUGCGGGACGGCUUCCCAAACUUGGUUCCCAUACAAAUAGGAACUACGAUAUUGUCAAUUAAUAUCAAAAUAUAGUGGGUAAAGAUUGGAGUCCAAUCUCUAACCAAUUCAUGUUUACAUAAAAUUAUUGAACUAACAUAAAAUCUUCAUUGUCCAAAUAAAUAGUAAACCCUACCCUAUCUCUAGCUACCUAGGUAGCAUUAGUCAGUCAUCAAGCUGUUAAUGUAACUAACAAAAAAUUAAAAAUUUCAUAACUAAAACCAAUACAUUUUAAGAAAUAAUUGCCAAUAUCCAACUCACAAAAAACAAUAUUAUGUUAAUCUUCUCUCUCUCUCUCUCUCCUCCAUACAUAUAUCUUGAUAUAGACCUAGUUCAAGAUCCAAAAUGAGUACCUAUUUGAAAAUGAACUAGUUCACCAUAAAUAUCAUGACACUGGGGGGCAAGAAAAUGGGAGAAUCUUGUUCACGUACUCAAUCUAUACUCUUGUGCCUUAAGAUUUGAUCUAUUUUCAUGUCUAGUUGCACACCACCAUUCCUUCAGAGUGGUUUGUAAGACCAGCUACCCAAAAAAAUCAAUUUCUGGGUUUGGUCCAUUGGCCAGGGAUUUUUAGAAGUGUUUCUAGAGGUUGUUCUUGAUCUAGCUGGCAAUGAAAAAAAUACGGUGUCUCUGAAAAUAGUUUCUAUAAUAGUGCACCAUUUGCAUGCUGUCCUUGCAUAAGGAAUAAAUCUUGAAGCGAUAGUAAAAAAAAUAUCAAUGUAAGCAUACUUUUUGAAAGAACAUAAGCAUACUUUUCAUUAUACUAUAAAAAAUAGUUAUCACAUUGGAAGCCACUCGCUCUGAUAUAUGUUAAUGUGUUUCUGAAAAGAAAAUUAAUUGUCUAGUACUUGGUCUACCUUACUAGAUGGCGAUUAGUCUUUCUUCCGGUGGUAUAUUUAUUCAAAAGAAAUAAUUCCUUUGAACCUAAUGUAACAAAAGAUCAUGGUGUUUAUAGGUGUUAGUGAAGUUUCAUGGUCUACAGUUCUAGCAGCUAAAAUUUAGAAGUAAUCAUGGUAACACUUUUGUCUACUUUUGGCGUUGCGUGUAUGAACAGCCUUUUUCCUCUGUGAAACUGACAAGGUUGUCUGAAUAAGUUCUCCUCAAUAUUUAAUUUGUUUCUUCAAUUUUAAGAUUCCCACGGACAAUAAAACUGCUCCAAAGUGAUGACAGCCUGAAAUUUUCAUGAAUGUAAAUGACGUUAAAAAUAAGUGUUAUAAGAAUACGAUGAUCAAGCUAUGUAUGCAGCAGAUGGCCAUAUAUUGGCUAGUUGUAGACAUUAUGGAAUGUCAUACAGUCUAGUGUGAUCAAUACAUAAUGGCAAGCUAAUACUUAAAUUGUGGUCUAAUCUUAUUUAUUAAUUUUCUUAUUGCAUGACUGUCCAACAUUUAUUGGAGUUUCGUUGGCCACCGAAUUUUCAUGGUGCUUAUGAUACAUCCUUGAACUCUGCUCAUUUUGUAUCUGGAACAAUAAAGGGAAAUAUUAUUUUGACAAAUCUAAUAAGUUUUAGGUAUAUAUCAGUUAAAAUGGGAAAGUUACUGUUGAAAUGUGUUUCAGUGUGGAGGAUGUGAUUAGCUUAUGAAAUCUUGUAAAGACAUGGCUAUGUGUGGUCACAAGGCUAGCUGGAAACAAUUCCAUUUCAUAAAAAAAUAAAAAUAAAAAAAGGGAAAAAGAAAGAUUUUUGAGAACAUGUGAUUGCAUGGCAUGCAUUCACUAGAAGUGUUUUAUUAAAUAUCCAUUCACUAGAAGGUUGAUACCAAAUCAGUAUACACACACACAUAUGCAUGUUGAUGUAUAUGUAUGAGAAGUAUUUCCAUAAAAUUGUAGACAUCGAAAGUGUGUGUUUGGUGCGUGUGCCAUCAAGUUGACAUCAUGUUAUUGGCGACAUAAUUAUAUCAUCCGUCUUACUUGUGUGUCAGACAUAUCAACAUAUUCGGUGGGCUUAUUGUAAUUCUUAUUCACAAGUUGAAGUGCGCGUGCACAAAACCCACUACCCGAGUUGGGAGGUUGAAUCUUAUUAUCGCGGUAAUGACAACUAGUCUUAUCCUAGAUGUACCAAUAGUUGUAUCCCAUCCAUAUAUUCCAAUCUAGGAGGUGAUUACAAGAUAAACCACUUACCAUCUUCAUCUAUUUGCCUAGAUAUCUUAUUUUUCAAACAUCUUCCCUUGUCUUAGGUCACAGCUCAAAAAAAUGACAGUUCAUUUGAAUCACUUUUCCAUUUGAUUUUAAAUAAUAUACAUCCUGCCCUAUCCAAAUUCUUGUGACAUGAAGAAAGAAAAGCAAUAUAAACAUAUAUUUUUCUCUGUUUAGAGGACAAGGCGUACUAGUUGAUGGUUGUAGUAGAUAAAUUUGCAAGUGGCAAGCGUACAAUUAUUUGAUCUGGUAUUUUGUGGAUGCAUUUGUGGGCUCCUAAUUAUCAAAACUGGUAGUGCAACAUGAGCUGCAAGCUUGACAAUUUCUUUAUCAGAAGCUUCGGAUAUGUUACUUCAUCCAUUACUACAGAAUUGGCAAUCACAAAUGGAGUAUAACUGCCGGUUGUUUUUGAACCUGCAUUAAUAGAGUGUCACUACUGGUUCAUGACUUCAACCAGCAAUGAUACAGGUCGACACUGAUAGGCGGACUAUCAUUGCCAGUUUGUGGCUUGAAGAACCGGCAGCAAUAGCUGCUUUGCACAAAAAAAUCAUAACCUUUUUAUCUGAGGUUGGAUUAAGACAAAUUAUAUAUAAAAAAUAUAGAGUUUAAGAGAUCUUAAACUUUCUUGUUGAUCACUUUUUAAUUUGAGAUGGCUUACGAGUCUAAAUAUUUAAUAUAAGUCCUCAAAUCAGAUUUAACAUGCUUAACAAUGUCAAAUAGAGACCAAGUCAACAUAAAAUUUGUAGUACUCGAUGAGAUCUACAACUUUGCAGUUAAUAAAAUUUGUGUGAAAGAUUCUUUUGUGACAAAUAUAUAAUAUAAGAUUGAAAAAUAUGUGGUUAAAUGAAUAGCGCCUGCUAUAUAAUUGCAUGUUGUCACGUAGCUCGGUAUGUGGGUUCGAGGGAACAUGAACAUCGAGGUUUCGAGUUUGAAUCCUGAAAACUAUAUCUUUUUGUCACCUGUCACUGCCGGGUGAUGAGGGGUUGAGACAUGGUAGUGAUGGUCAAUUCUGCGGUAGUGGUCAUGGUUUGGAUACAUUUCUUUAUGGAUCAGUUAGGUUUCUAUAAGUUUUUUUUUAGUUUAGAUUAGGUCACUUAGUUCACUACGAGGACAAAAUAUUGCAACUUCCAAUAUUUGUGUCUUUUGAUUUAUUGCAACUUCCAAUAUUUGUGUCUUUUGAUUUCUACUAUCAAGAAGCAUGAAUUUCUAUGAAUCCCAGUGUGUUGAAUCAAUUAAGCACUUGUUUUUUAUGAAUGUCGUCUUGCCUAAGCUAUUUGGUCAGUAAUUUAAGUGGUUUCAUGUCUGUCUAAACCUCACAGCAUAUCACGUAGGUUUAGCAUUUGGUAAGGGGGCCUUAGAAAAUAUCUGAAGCUGAAGUCACUAGCCCUGCUAGGAGUUGCUACUACUUGUUAGUCACUCUGGCUUAGGAGGAACAACAUAAGUUAUAAAAAAGAAUAAAUUCUCUCCUUUGCAAGUCACCGAAUUAGUUACGCAUUGACUACAUAUAUAUGCUGUUCUCCAGAAGCAUGUCUUAUACGAUUUGCAUGUGGAGGCUUUGCAGUAUAUAGGGUGCCCAAUGUUAUCCUGUCCCUGUUACAUUUUUUUUUUAGAUAAGAUCCUGUCCCUGUUACAUGGGUGGAUGUAGCAUAUAUAAUGGACUAAUUGUCAACACAGGGAUUAUAGGUGUGUGUUGUUUAAUUUUGUAGCUGUGUGUUUCUAGAUAAGGAGAGGUCAGGAGGUCUAUUUUCAAUCCUUAUUGCCAUGCGCCAUGGCUGCGUUUAUUAUUACCAUGACAAUAUAGAACUGCUUUAUAAACAUGUACAAUACAAUGGCAGAAUGGCCGGUGUAAUAAUGACUAAUCUGGCAUUCUUGUCUCGAGAGAAUAAAGCUUGUGGUUUCAAAAAUCGAAAAGGGAUGGAAGGUAGACUCUUUUGGGCAUAAAAAUAAGCGCGCUCAGCAAUCAGCAUAUAGACACCACCCUUUUGCUGCCCUCUGAUCGCUAUGACAUAUGCUACUGCUAAUCAUUUCAUUCCUGUCAGGCGUCCCUUGGAAAAUGGGUGUGGUUAUUUACUGAAAAGCAUGUUCAUUUAUCUGUACGUUAUUAUGUCUACGUGGUUCAUGUCAAUCAUAGAUUACAGAGGCACUGCAAAGGCUGUAACAACCGACAUGCUUUUUCAGUAAAUGUUCGUUACACAAAUACUGCAAGUAAUGCAGAAAGCCAAAGAAGCUUUGAACGGAAGUUGUUGCAUGGACUUUGUUGGUGAAAGUUAGGACACGUGUUAGAACCUGACACCCCGUAGUUAUGCACUAGCAGCACUCGGAUGUUCAAUAAAAUAGUAGUAUGAUGCAAGCUUACAUUGUACUGUAUCGAGAAGGGCUAAGAUGAAUCGCAUUCAGUUUCCAUUUCUAAUAGAGGCAGUUGACUUAGGAAACCAUCACUAACCUUAGCAGGAGCCGUUGGAAAUCAAUUUUCAGGAGUGAUUUCAUUAAGAAAUUAAGUAAUGGAUUCUAUUAAGAUAACUGCCCCUAGAAAUAGGAUUUUUGGGGAUGGACGUCUUUAUCAAACCAUCUCUAGAAGAGCCAGAGUUUCAAAGAUGGUUCUCUUAAGAGAACCUCGUAUGGAAUCUAAUAAUAGGUGCGGUGCUCUAGAAUUGGUGGCAUAGCAUCGAUUUUGUAAACCGGCCUUUAAGAUCCUUUUUUUACAUUAGCAAAAUAAUUUCUUUUGCAAGGGUUCUCAUUACUGAUUGGUACCUUGAACCAUCAGUGGUAGCUUUUCACACUAUUGCUUUAUGACCUAUAGCAGCAAUAGUAGGAGGAGCCAUCGGUCCCGGUUGCCCACCGCACGCUGACACCAAUUGUCGCAAUAGUAGUGCUAUGGAUCCAUCAGUCCUGGAUGGUUGUGUAUUAGUGCAGCGUAAUGCGCCAAGACCUAUUAUCACGUAAUGGCUUGCAGCACCACAACCCCAGUUGGAUAAUAUCGUGAGCAUCAUAUUCACCUAAACAGCUACUUUUCUAUUAAUAUCGCUAUAUAUAGAUGCCCAAGUGUAUCUUUGGUUAUCAACAACACAAGCUCUCAAGUAAUCAGCUAUCAGGGGUGAGUCCUUUUCUCUCUGCAAGCUCAUCGGUUUUAUUUUGUUCGGUAAGAUUCAAUAUGCAAUUCCAUUUCAUUGUUUCUGAAAUUGAAGCCUAACAUGUACACAUGCAUCUAACAUAUACUCAGAUGAAGCCUGCAACGGUGGCACUGCUCAUUUUGAUGAACAUGAUGUGCACUAUCGGAUACUUUGAUCAUGCAAGUUUUCUUGGAACUAAGGCCCAAGAAACCACCUUGCUGGCAAAUUCAUACGGAAACAACGAAGAAACUGGUUCUACGAAGGGCACAAAUCUUAGAAGGAAACUGGUGGUGACGGAGCACCAAUGGUCUCCAAGAGAUAUCUGCUGCAAUACAAUGUCCUCCAAUUCUUGCAAACAGCAAUAUAAUUGUUAGAGAUAUAUAUGCUUGCAUUCCUAUGCAUAUGGAGGACACGGUAUAUAUAUGUUGCGUCAGCAGUUUCUCAAGUCCCUUGUAUUAUCUAGGUGGUGACCUAUCUAAAUAAUCUCUGGGGCCGUGAAAUGCCGUGUAGUAUUGUACUGAGCGUACGCUCAAUAUUAAUCAAUAAAUUAAAACAAGACCUGUGUGUGAUAAUAAUUCACUCAGAUAAACCCAU